UAUUUGAGCAAUAUUAUAAAAUUCAAAAGCUGUGUUUGUAAUUUUAACAAAUAGCACCAUGUGACACAUUAUAUUGCACCUGCCACCUCUUCAGAUUCCUAGCCAAAGUUUUGGGGGUAUCACAAAAAUUGAAAGGUGUGAGUCAAAGGCUACUUGGUUCUUUGUUUCCUAAUGUUGUCCAUGGUUCCAUUGAAUCUGUCUUUGGACUGGUAGGCCACAGAGUUGUUCUGGGAUCUAAAAUGGCACUCACUGUUUUCACUCAGGAGAAGAGGAGUUCCUUUAAAUCAUACACAUACUGUGGGUUUUAAAAACAUCAGAUGAUCCUCAACAAACAAGGAGGAACGAAGGGAAAUUAUUUUUCAACCAACUGUUACUUUACUUUGGACAUUUUGGGGGAAGAUUUACUAUGAAAUUUACUUUUGAAACAGUUAAGUGAUCUCAUCUUUGUCUGAAAAACUUAUCUGGUGCUGUAAUGAUCGGUGUGUGUGUGUGCAUGCCAAGUUGCUUCAGUCGUGUUUGACUCUCUGCGACCCUAUGGACUGUAGCCCGCCAGGCUCCUCUGUCCAUNNNNNNNNNNAGGCAAGAAUACUGGAGUGGGUUGUCAUUUCCUUCUCCAGGGGACCUUCCAAACCCAGGGACUGAACCCUUGUCUCUUAUGUCUCCUGAAUUGGUAGGCAGGUUCUUUACCUCUAACGCCACCCGGGAAGCCAUAAUGAUCAGUAAAGAGUAUUAAACAAGCUGAUUAAAACAGCUUUAUUGUAAAACCUAAUCACUAUAAUUAUCUCCAGGAUAACUAUUUUCACUACCACUAAUUUAAAAGAGCAUUUAUGGACCCAGUGUAAAAUGAUACUUAAACAUAGAAAAUUAAAUCUAUAAAGCNNNNNNNNNNNNNNNNNNNNNNNNNNNNNNNNNNNNNNNNNAAAUGUUUAAUAGCUUACUUUGGUUGCUCUCUUAUGUACUAUUAACCAUUAAAAUAGUCAUCAUUUAAAAGAAAUGAUAUGUUUAGAUUUAAAUAUGUUGACCU
RNAcentral lists this long non-coding RNA (1024 nucleotides) under Capra hircus (goat). RNAcentral describes it as "lncRNA (ENSCHIG00010011032.1)". Lineage: Eukaryota; Metazoa; Chordata; Mammalia; Artiodactyla; Bovidae. The record is from RNAcentral.